This is an RNA transcript of Dendroctonus ponderosae (mountain pine beetle), 2059 nucleotides long. It is a transcript of the gene named lipopolysaccharide-induced tumor necrosis factor-alpha factor homolog, with no coding region annotated. NCBI's taxonomy places the organism in Eukaryota, Metazoa, Arthropoda, Insecta, Coleoptera, Curculionidae. The record is from RefSeq and is a predicted model, not a curated record. The transcript has 3 exons.
UAAAUGCUAGAUAUUGCAGGUGGUUGUUUCAAUUUUUUGUUUCUAUUUAUGCUUGUGCGAGUUAAAUUCUUAGAAACAGAAAUUUAUAAAUGAAAAGUACUACAAUUAUGGUACUUUUUGUGCUCUUUAAGGUGUUAAGAAAUCAUAUUAAACAUGUUCUCCUUUCUGCAAACAUGCAUUAUAUCCAUGUUUGUUCUGUGGCAAUUUUUUAAAAAUAUUUCCUUAUCUUGUUCGCUCUGUUGGCAAAUAAAAUCUUAUAUAUUUCACAGAAAAAUAUGUACAUCUUGUUAAGCACAUCGGUCUCUCGUAACUUCUUCGUUAAAUGGAUAAUGAACGUAUUCUAGAGAUAUUUAUUCGUAUAUAUUCGAUUAAACAGACCCAUUUGAAACAUUGAUUGUUUCAAAAAUAUUACGUGAUGAAUAAAAUCCCGAUCACCUUGAGCCGAUGUACACUGUUGGGUAAACACAAAUGUAUUCUCUGUUUGUCCAUAUGUUGGUACUUUUCACAAUAAUGACUGCAAUCCAAUUGCAUAAUAACAUGUGAUAUGUUGCAGUUAUUUACUUAAAUGUGUAUGCCAUGUUAAGCACAACAAUACGGUUUUCAGUGUUCGACUCUUAAUAAUUAGCACUUCAAUAGUUGCAAUUUCAGUUGAUAAUCAUACGAUCGUAUGAUACGAUCACUUUUUAUCGUUUUAAAACGAACUCUUGGGUAGGUUUUGUGAAUAUAUCGUACACAGCGAUAAAAGGCAAAAUAUACGAAAUCACUAUUCGAAAAUCUGACUAUUAUGUUGCAUAGUAAGACCCAAGCUGAUGAGAAGCUGACGCACAUAUCCAAAGCUCCGCCUCAAAUGGCAGGAUUGCAACUCAAAAAACCCGAACUCUUACCCGCUCAAUUUAAUGCUGAGAGAAGACCAAAGGCGUCCCAAUGCGUGCUGGGCUUGCCAUCAACGAGAUCUUGACGGCUUAGUUUUUUAUAUAAUCGGUUUUUAAUGCUAUUAUUAUAGGCGAGAAUAUCAAAGUGUAAAAUCUCAAAUAUCUGUGAAUAGGGUACCGCCAAGAAGGCAUACUUUUUCACGUAAUAAGCUUCAGCACAUAAUUUUCUACUUGGCAUGUGUUGUGGACCAAACAAGGAUGGUUGAUAAAAUACCAAAUUGCUUAUUUCUCAGUUUGCUCUUUUCUUUUGAGCAUUGUUUGAACAAUUUAAUGUCACAAAAAAUUUAAUCGAUUUAACUUAUAUUAACGAUGCUUUGAAGGAAAGUGAUAAUUGCAAGUUGCAUUGCUUGUUCUCUGCUAUUCACAGAGAAAUUUUGAAAUCUUUGAUAUUGCAGCUUUUGAUAUAUAAGAUAUUUUGUGUUUGUUAAUUUUUUAAUAUUUAUCAGAUUGUGUCUUUAUUAUUUAAAAAAUAUUAUUGGUGCUUUUGGUGAUGAUAGUUUUGUGGGGUGGGAUCAUAAAUAAAAUUCAAUAUGUGAAUUUUAACAUUUUACAGUCCAAUUUGAUCCUACUUUGUAGACUAUUUAAAUAUUUGAGAUGCGGUCAGUCUUGCAUUGUUUAUUUGUGAACAUCGAUUUCUCGUUUUUGUUUCAAAUCUUCCUCCAUAUUCUAAUGAUCUGAUUAAAAUCAAAUUAUCAAUUAUGUUAAUAAUAGAGUGAAUAGAUUGUUUAAUAGAUUGAAUGAGAAGUUUUAAAAAUUCUGCAAUUGCAGUUUUAGUAGAUAUUUUAGAGUUUAGACGUAUGGCUGAGCUAUGUUUAUCGAUUGCUUAAGCCUGAAGCUCUGCCCGAAGAUCCAAGUGAUUGAAUGCCUCCAUAUAGACCAAUUCAAACCUUUAGCACAAAUUGCAUACGAAAGUCAACAUUUUCUCAUGGAUUAUGAAUUCGAUGCCUCUACCAUGAUAAAACAGUGUUGUACAGAGCGUUCCGUUUCAGUGAUGCCGGGCUACAAGCCAUCUAAUUUCGUUAAAAGGUUGUUACGUUGAAAAGCGAUGUCACGAUAGCUCUAUGUAAAGUCCGUCUAACUGUAACACUGAAGCUUAUUAGAUUAAAAUACACACAUAGCAGAUUCAA